Molecule: ribosomal RNA, 492 nt
Filed under: uncultured bacterium
Lineage: Bacteria
Description: partial 16S ribosomal RNA
Rfam family: Bacterial small subunit ribosomal RNA
Source: RNAcentral
AGUGAACGCUGGCGGUAGGCCUAACACAUGCAAGUCGAACGGCAGCACAGUAAGAGCUUGCUCUUACGGGUGGCGAGUGGCGGACGGGUGAGGAAUACAUCGGAAUCUACUUUUUCGUGGGGGAUAACGUAGGGAAACUUACGCUAAUACCGCAUACGACCUACGGGUGAAGGCAGGGGAUCUUCGGACCUUGCGCGAUUGAAUGAGCCGAUGUCGGAUUAGCUAGUUGGCGGGGUAAAGGCCCACCAAGGCGACGAUCCGUAGCUGGUCUGAGAGGAUGAUCAGCCACACUGGAACUGAGACACGGUCCAGACUCCUAAGGGAGGCAGCAGUGGGGAAUAUUGGACAAUGGGCGCAAGCCUGAUCCAGCCAUACCGCGUGGGUGAAGAAGGCCUUCGGGUUGUAAAGCCCUUUUGUUGGGAAAGAAAAGCAGCAGGUUAAUACCCCGCUGUUCUGACGGUACCCAAAGAAUAAGCACCGGCUAACUUCGUG